This 71-nucleotide transfer RNA is filed under the name Angiostrongylus costaricensis. It matches the Rfam family "tRNA". From Rfam's summary of the family: Transfer RNA (tRNA) molecules are approximately 80 nucleotides in length. The record is from Rfam by way of RNAcentral. Lineage: Eukaryota; Metazoa; Nematoda; Chromadorea; Rhabditida; Metastrongylidae.
GGGGUUAUAGCUCAGUGGUAGGACGCUUUUUAGCCUGGAAGAGGUCUGGGGUUCAAUUCCCCAUACCUCCA